This 3314-nucleotide long non-coding RNA is filed under the name Gossypium barbadense (sea-island cotton). Its description in RNAcentral is "long non-coding RNA (GBAR_LNC008820)". The record is from RNAcentral. Lineage: Eukaryota; Viridiplantae; Streptophyta; Magnoliopsida; Malvales; Malvaceae.
AUUUUCCUCCAAGAAAAUGGCCAUGGAAGCUUGAAAAUUUUCAGCAACUUAAAGCCUUUGCAAGUAAGUGACUUUGAGGGCUUUUAUUGAAUAUUUUUGUACUUUUGAGAUCCUUGUAACAUGAGCUUUCUAACAAUGGUACUAUUUUCAAAAUGGUUAAAAUUAUAGGGUUUUGUCAUGAUAGUAGACAUGUUGAUUUAUGAAAUUUUAUGGAAUAAUAUGAGUUAUGGUUGUGAAAUAAACAACUUUUGUGAAGUAGUUUUCAUGGACACCCUAGCUAGGGACCAUUUUGCAUAAGUCGUAAAAUAGUUGAUAAAUGUGUGAAAUAAUGGGAAUUGCAGGCUGAUCCUAGUAUGAAAAUUAUUCGGCUAGGCUUUAUUAAUGAGAAAAUGUGAUAAAAAUCAAAUUUUGAACCUAGGGGUAAAAUGGUCAUUUUGUGAAAGUCUAGAGGCAAAAUGAUCAUUUUGCCCAAUCAUGAAUUUUCAAGUGCCUAGAUUAAUAUACUGAUGAAACGAAUAAAUUUCUAUCAUUUUAGAUCAAGAAUUACAAAAUCUGGGCCUAGACCGGGGAAAAGCAAAGCAAGUAGACUAAGCCGAACUAGUCGUUUACAUUUUGUAUACCGAGGUAAGUUGUAUGUAAAUAAUACAACUACAUUGUUAUUAUAUGUGUUUGAAUUGAUAUAACAUAAAUUGCUUGUUUGUGGAAGUGAUUAUGUAUGAUGAUAAUUGAGAUAAUAGAACUCCCGGGUGAACCUUAGGAACAAAUCGGUUAUUCAUGCCAGGACAUUUGGGUUAUUUGUGUGCUAGUGUAAGACAUGUCUAGGACAUGCAUCGACCACAUUAUGAGAGCCAGUGUAAGACCAUGUCUGGGACAUGGCGUCGGCAUUGAGACGAAAGCUAGUGUAAGACAUAUUUGGGACAUGCAUCGGCCUCGAGAUGUAAGCAGUGUAAGACAUGUCUGGGACAUGCAUCGGCUACGAGAUGUACCAAUGUAAGACCAUGUCUGGGACAUGACAUCGGCACGGAUAUGUGAGAGCUAGUGUAAGACCAUGUCUGGGAUAUGGCGUCGGCCUCAAUUUCGAUAGUCAGCGUAAGACUAUGUCUAGGACAUGGCAUCGACAUUAUACCCUAUGUUUGAGGCUUAGUGAAUAUCCGAUAGCAUUCCAAAUGGUUCAACAGUGAGAGUUAUAGUUUAAGUUAAACGAGAAAGGUAUAACCAUGUUGUGAGUGGUACAGGUACCUAUUUGAAAUGUAUGAGAUGUGAACUCAAUAGAUGCUAUGUGAAUUGUGUUGGAUAGUGAUAAGUAAGUUGUACUUACGUCUAUUUAUGGUAUUCAUGAAUAAGUUAUGAAAGGUUAUGAGCAUAUUGCUUUAUGAUAAGUAGUUGUUAUUUAUUUUCAUGCAACUUACUAAGUUUUAUGCUUACCCUAUUUCCUUUUCAUUUUCUUAUAGUGCCGCCUAAUUAGCUCGAGGAUCAUCGGACGUCGAAGGCAUAAAUCACACUAUCAUCUGAAGCAUUUGGUAUAGUUAGUUCUUUUACUUUAAUUAUGGCAUGCAUAUGAACUUUUGAUUUUGUGUUAGUGUCACAUUGUUUUGGGGCCAAAUAUCUUAGCUUGUUUUAGUAUUUUACUCAUUUUGUAUAAGGCCAUGGAAAAAUGGCUAAUAUUGAAAGUUAUUAUAUUAAUACAAGAAGACCUUUCAUGAAUGAGUAAUUUGUUGAUUGCUUAAGUAUAUGUGAAAUGUGUAGAGACCUUAAAUGUGGUUGCUGGAUUGAGAAAUCAGGUUAUGUUAAUCUUUAGUAUGUGAAUGUUGUUAUAUUGUGUUUUAGGGUGGCAAAAGACUUGGUAUGUGACAGCCCUAUUCUGACAUUAGUCGGGAAGUGGUUUCGGGACUGCUAAACCGAGUCGCAGAAAAAAAAAUUGAAUAUAAUAUUUUAUGUCUAAAAUAUGUGAUCAUGCAUGUGUGAAAUUUGAAUGCUUUGAUUUUUGUCAAUUUGAAUGUGUUUCUAAAUAAAAAGGACUUAUGUGAGAAGCUUUGAAUAUAUGUGUGGCUUAUUUUAAGUGAUUAAUUAUUGAAUGAUGCAAAUAAGUGGGUUUGCAUGUCAAAUUGCCACUUUUAAUGUUAGUGGCCGGCCAUGAUGGUUUUGGUGAGCAAAAUAAGCAUAUUUUAUAUGUAUAAUAAUGAAUUUAUAUUUUUUUAAGUAGUUUAUUGAUAUAUUUAUUAUUAUAUAGUUAUUGAUAAAAAUAAAAUAAGAAUGGGGGAAGAAAACAAGAACUCAUCUUUGUUUUUUCACCUAGCCGAAUUUCAUAAAAAGAAGAAGAGUGGAUGAUGGUUUUGGGGACCAUUCGGUCAAUUGGAGGCAAAUUUGAAGGUAAUUUGAUGUGGUUUUGUAAAUUGUUGAUGAAUUUGUGUUUCUCUUUUUUUUUUUUCUAGCGAAACCCACUUGAUAAAUUUAAUUUUUAUGAGGCAUUUUAGAUUCAGCCUUAGUGAAAAUGAGUGAGGAAAUUUGAGUUGAGGAUAGAAGAUAGUAAACGAAUGUUCAAUGGACAAUUUGAUACCAAAAUUCAUAUGUUUAUGAGCUUGUUUUUGAAAAGUAUGUUACAUGUGAGUGAUUAGUUCAUGAAGAGAUUUUCGGUUAUGUUGUUUUGUAUGAGUAAUGGAUUGCUGAGUUCAUGCUAUUAUGAAUAAAAUUAAGAGAGGCUUGAGAUAAUUAAAUAUGCAUGUUGGUGGUAAGAUGAGCAUUCGGUUUUUAUCAUGGAAGCAUAGGGAGCUAGUUAAAAGUUGAAUUUUAGAAAAGUUAAAUGUGUGUGUGCUUGUGCUAGUGCCGAAUGUGCCUAGGGUGAUUUAGCAUUGAGUUUGGUGUUAUAUGAAUUGAGUUUUAUGGUUUUGGAUUUUUAAGUGUUGUUAAAUACUUUGAAUAAUAUAUAUAAGUGGCUUUGAUAUGUGAAAUUCGGCCAAGUGGUUAUAAGCAUGAUUUUAGAAAUUCAAUGAUAUUCGACUGAUUUGAAUAAUUCAUGGCACCCCAAGCAAAUUAGUUUUAGAUGUUAAUAAAUAUUGAAAUUAUUUAAGCAUAUUACCGAAUGUGAUUUUAGUUAAUGAUUCGGUUAUGAGUGCUGAUUUGUUUUAUAAUUAGCCAAAUGUGUAUAUGUAUACUAUGAGGUGGUUUAGCUUAAAGAAAAUUAAGGUGCUCCGAAGGUGAUUGUCGUGGAUAGUUUAAGUAAUGAAAUUUAAUUUCUGUUAUGUAAAGUGAUGACAUUGCUGUUUGCAAAUUUGAAGUUAAAAAUUGUUGAUUGAGCAUCAAGAGCUUAUGGGGAC